RNAcentral lists this unclassified non-coding RNA (2583 nucleotides) under Hevea brasiliensis (rubber tree). The record is from RNAcentral. Lineage: Eukaryota; Viridiplantae; Streptophyta; Magnoliopsida; Malpighiales; Euphorbiaceae.
AAAAAAAAAAAAAAAAAAAGAGACCACAUAAAACCUUUUAUUUUGCUAAGCCAGCUGCAACAACAAAGACUAUCUGCAUCCGGACCGAGCGGUGGCACUUUGACCUGGUAGGUAUUAGGAGCUAAACAGCUCGCUUGUAUCAUCGUUCGUUAAAUGGUUAGGGUUCAACUCAGCGGGGUUAAGCUACUUCAUGGUUCAUGAUAUAAUAAAACAAAAAUUUUCAAGGUAAGAAGCAAAACAAGGAAACCAUAAAACGCAGCAGAUGCCCUGAGCUUUGGAAGAAUUAGAUGAGCCAGGCCUCAUGUACCCUUCAAACCUUUCGCCACCUCUUGAAAGCCAGCAUUGCCAACAGAGACCUUCAAACAGGCAAAACCCUCCACGCACUAUACCUCAAAUCUCUAAUUCCUUUCUCAACCUUUCUCUCCAACCACUUCAUCAUCCUCUACUCCAAAUGCAACCGCCUAACCACGGCCCACUUUGCCUUCAACCAAACCCACGAACCUAAUGUCUUUUCUUUCAACGUUCUCCUGGAAGCCUAUGCAAAAAAAUCACUUACUGAUAUUGCCCACCGCCUGUUUGAUAAAAUUCCGCAACCAGACGUUGUCUCUUAUAAUACCCUCAUCACUGCUUAUGCAGAUUGCGGGAAGAUUUUACCCGCCUUAAGCUUGUUUAGGGAAAUGAGAGAGAUUGGUUUUGACGUGGAUGGGUUCACCCUCUCUGGAGUGAUCAGUGCUUGUUGCAAUGAUGUGAAUUUGAUCACCCAGUUGCAUUCUUUAUCUGUUUCUGCUGGACUUGAUUCUUAUGUUUCAGUGAACAAUUCGCUGGUUACAUAUUAUGGUAAAAAUGGGUAUUUGGAGGAGGCGGAAAGAAUAUUCUACGGGAUGGGAGAAGAGAAUAGAGAUGAGGUUUCUUGGAACACUAUGAUCGUGGCAUAUGGGCAGCAAAGAGAGGGGUUUAAAGCGUUGGCAUUGUUUCAAGAAAUGAUUCACAGGGGCUUUGAGGUUGAUAUAUUUACUCUGGCAAGUGUUUUGACUGCGUUUACAUGCAUGGAGGACUUGUUUGGGGGACUGCAGUUUCAUGCUAAGUUGAUCAAAACUGGGUUUUAUCAGAAUUGUCAUGUAGGGAGUGGUUUGAUCGACUUGUAUGCUAAGUGUGGUGGUAGUAUGUUAGACUGUAGAAAAAUAUUUCAAGAGAUCCCUGCCGCAGACUCUGUUCUUUGGAACACAAUCAUUUAUGGCUAUUCACUAGAUGAGGAAUUAUCUGAGGAGGCUCUUGAUUGUUUUAGGCAGAUGCAGCGUGCUGGUUACAAGCCAGAUGAUUGUACCUUUGUGUGUGUGAUUAGGGCAUACUCUAAUUUAUCAUCUCCCUCUCAGGGAAAACAAAUUCAUGCAUUGGCAAUGAAAUCUGACAUCCCUUCAAAUCAAAUUUCUGUGGAUAAUGCUCUUGUUGCCAUGUAUUCAAAGUCUGGAAAUCUUCAAGAUGCAAGACGUUUAUUUGAUACGAUGCUAAAGCAUAAUGUGGUGUCAUUAAAUUCAAUUAUUGCAGGCUAUGCACAACAUGGAAAUGGAAUGGAAUCACUGCUCCUUUUUAAACAGAUGCUCGAGAAUGGCAUUGCCCCUACAAGAAUAACCUUUAUUUCCGUCCUUUCUGCUUGUGCACACAAUGGAAAGGUUGAGGAAGGCAAGAGGUACUUCAAUAUGAUGAAAGAGAAGUUUUGUAUUGAACCAGAAUCAGAACAUUACUCUUGCAUGAUUGAUCUUUUGGGUCGAGCUGGAAAGCUACAUGAAGCAGAAGAACUAAUUGAGACAAUGCCAUUUAGCCCUGGCUCCAUUGGUUGGGCUGCAUUACUUGGUGCCUGUAGGAAACACGGAAAUGUGGAGCUAGCUGAGAAGGCAGCAAAUGAGUUAUUGCAGCUGGAACCUACAAAUGCCACACCUUAUGUCUUGCUAGCAAAUAUGUAUAGCAGUGCUGGAAAAUGGGAAGAGGUAACUAGAGUUAGAAAGCUUAUGCGAGCUAGGGGUGUUAAGAAGAAGCCAGGCUGUAGUUGGAUUGAGUUGAACAAGAGGAUACAUGUGUUUGUGGCUGAAGAUAGAUAUCAUCCACUGAUGAAAGAAAUUCAUGAUUACUUGGAGGCGAUGUCAAUGAAGAUGAAGCAAGCUGGGUAUGUGCCUGAUGUGAGAUGGGCUUUGGUUAAGGAUGAUGAAACGGUGGAAGGGGAGAGGGAGUUCAAGAUAGCGCAUCACAGUGAGAAACUAGCAGUGGCAUUUGGACUGCUUUCAACAAAAGAUGGAGAGCCAAUACUUGUGAUGAAAAACCUCAGGAUAUGUGGGGAUUGCCACAAUGCAAUCAAAUAUAUCUCAGCGAUUUCUGGUAGAACAAUUACUGUCAGGGAUACUCAUAGAUUUCAUUGCUUCAUGGAAGGACAGUGCUCUUGUGGCGAUUAUUGGUGAUAAUAGUUGACAAUGUGCAGUUUUGGCUCCUGUAUCUGUAGGUAUGGCACAGGGGCCCUGCUUCCUUAUAGCUAACUUCCUCCAUACAAAAAGCAAAGAAAAAAAUUAUGAUACAUAAGCCCUUCAUUUUUUU